Non-coding RNA from Pelobates cultripes (western spadefoot toad), 4919 nucleotides. The record is from the annotation of a GenBank genome assembly. NCBI's taxonomy places the organism in Eukaryota, Metazoa, Chordata, Amphibia, Anura, Pelobatidae.
GGCACCUAAUAUUAAAGAGGUAAAUCAUGGUUGAACAGACACGUAAUUGUAGGUUUUGUUUUGGUCAGUACUUAAGUAGACUUUAACAACAAACUAGACAAACUAUGACAAAUUUUGACAGGAACAAUAUGUUAACGAGGACCCUGCACAAAUAAAUGAACAUUCCAUAUUUUAAUUCUGAUUACACUCUUACAGUUUUUAACCUCUUAUAAGUUUCCCUUUACACUCUGUCCCUUUUGCACAGUAUGCCUCUACACCCUCAGCUUCCGACUAUAUAUCUUUGAAUUAUGUGGGCCACUGAGGAUAGAGGUACACACUCUUUACAUCUGCUAGUCAGUGGCAUAUUUUCCCUAUGGUAAAUAGAAAGUGACCAUUUAGUGCCCCAAAAUAACAUUAGAACUAUAAUGUCUGCAUAACCAUGUCUCUCAUUAACAUUAGUGGGCAGGCACAUGAACACUUAUUUAAAGGGAUACUAGAGUGCUAGAAAUAUAUAUCUGUAUUCCUAGUACUAUAGUUACUUCUCAUCCCCCCCUCCCUUGCGGCCUCCUCUUCGAUACAUAAAGUGUUAAAAAAAACUUUAUAUACUCAUCUGAUUCAAGCGUCAAUGUACCUCCGUACUGGGUUGGCACUCAGUCUCCUCAGAUAUCAUCCAUUGGGGGGGCUCGUGCACAUACGUGGUGUGCGCUGUGAGCACUUUAGGCUGUCCCUGCUUCAGUGCUUUCCUAUGGGGAUUUAACUGACACUGGAUGUUCUCAUGCAGAGUGUGAGGGCAUGCAGUGUCAGUUAGGAGACCUUAAGUCUGGUCUGUAGACAGCCACUAGUGGCAGACAUACUACUGCAAUGUAAACAUUGCAGUUUCUCUAAAACGGCAAUGUUUUACAUUGCAGGACUAAGUGUGACAGGGACACUGCACCUAGACUACUUCAAUGAGCUGAAGUGGUCUGGGUGACUAUAGUUUCUUUUUAAUAACUGCAGAGUAAUAAACAGUGCCAGCAGACUGUCUCCUGCACUUUAGAAGGGUGGAAAUAGGUUAGGCAUUAUUGACAGAGAGAAUCAUUCUGAUCUAACUUGGAGAAUCAGUCAUAGUUUGCUUCUGGUGGCAUUGGCUACCUUCAGCACCAACACAUAAAUAAAAAGUAAUUUUAAGUGCAAAGAAGGACCUAGUUAAAGGAUAUGUGUCCUACUGUGCCUAGUGGUAAAUCCAGCCCUGCUUGUACCUCUGUGUCACCACCAAGAGCUCUGGUGGCCUGGGAGAUGUGUACACAUUUUGUAAUGCGCAAAAUUCCAUCUCUGCACCUAUAGUCUUCCAGGACCAGAACUAUCUGAUGUACAGAGCUUCAUGUACAUCUCUCAGGAGAGUGAGCUGAGUUGCAUGCUGAAGACAAACACUAAGCACACAACUCUAAGAGAAUCCAAGAUGUAUAUUAUUUGUAUAAUUGAACAUUUAGAGGUUUAUGUCUAAAGCAAUUGUGGGUCAAGCACAAAAAGUGGGCAGUUAUGAGGAAUGGGAGGUCCUCUCUGGAUUGCGUGUGAUGUUACCUCUGUAGGGGGGAACUGCCAGAAAGCUUCCCCCUCGCAGGGGUUAAAAUGGCAUGUAAUUCAAGAGAUAUAUGCCAUGCUUCCUAUACCAAGUUCACCGAAAAGAUUUAGAAUCUCUUUUAAAUGUUUUAAAUCAUUGUUGUUAAUUAAGUUCUCGUAAAUGCAGUUUUUGCAUUCCUACACAUAAUCAGGGUUAUUGACCAAACAGUAAAUUGUCUGGGAUCUGUAGAUAAAUUGGGAGAAAAAAUAAUAAUUUGGAAUUCCUACCAAUUCAUGGUUUAAUGAAUAACCCUGUGUGUUACAGAAUGAAUCAUUUUAUUACCAGUGGUUGUAGGGAAGUAUGAAAGAAACUACUCUCAAGUAAAGGGUUAAUAUAAACAGAAGUCCCAAAAACAUAUUCUUGUGUUUUGUGAGCAGUUCACAAUUUAACUCCAGCCAUUUGGGGGAUUUUUACAACUUUUGUUUGGCUACAACUACUAUGAUCUCCAGCACAAAUAAUUGACAGUUAAUAGGAGUCGUAGUUCCCUAUAACUGAAUACUUAGAGGAAUUCCAUAUGUGAAACAGUAUGCUUUUUAUAAAAAUAUAGCGAAAACUGCCAACUCACACAUUUAUUGUGCAAUUUCUGCCAACAUCUGUAUGCACUGUACAGUGACCAACAUAAUGGUCUAUAUCGUUUCACUGCAAUAUAUCUAUAGAUAACAUUCGUAUCUGCAGAAUGUCAAGUCAUUCCAAAUUUUCUAAUGAUCACUGUUUAAAAUGUAUAAAUACUUACCAAUAUAAAAUGGCACUUUGCUAGGACAUAUUGUAGCAACUUUAGCUAGAGUCAUGCGCUACCAUUUGUAAUCAGAUCCCCUUUCAUCAUCCGAGGGUUUUAUAAUAUAUUCCUAGAAGCCUACACCCAGCACUAACACAAUAUCAAUUGCAUUAUAUGCAAUUCGUUUGUAAAAGGCUAAUUAGGUUUUAUUGUAGUUAAAAGAAAAAUGCAAGUUGUUUUUGGCUUUGGUACUCUAGUCACAUAGAAUUCACCUUAGAAACCAAACUGAGGGUUACAAUGAUUUGAUUUCACAUGUUGCCAACUUGGGAACAAUAGACCUAAUAAGAACAUUAGGGGUUAUGUAUUAAGAGCAAUUGUGGGUCAAAGUUUUAAAAGUGCAGUAAUCAGCAGGAGCAUUCCAUUGUUUCCAUGGUGGCUGAUCCAUCUUUAGAACUGUACUCCAGACUUGUACUUUAUACCAUGUUUACUAUACAGGCACUUAUAUAUGUUAUUUGUGUGCAUAUACUUGGCUGAGAAUUUAAGUACCGUAACUAAUCAAAAUACGCAGAUCUCUACAGAUCUGUGUUGAGAAACAUAAUCAGUAAUAUAUAUAAAUAUAAUAUUUCACUGAAAGGGACAUUGAUCUUAAAAUAUCAAAGGUCUUUUUUAAAGGUUGCCAGGCGUGUUUCCAAUCAUAGUUAUUUCUUGCAGAUCAAUACAAUUAAACGUUGAAAUGGUAAUAUUGCGUUGACAGCCUGGUUGUAAUGCAUUGCCAAAUACAUUUGUAUUGCUUUAUUUUAAAUCUUUCUAUUUGAUAUAAUUCAAUAUAACAAUGUAAUUAUAUUAUGUAUUGAAAUAGUGGAUUUUAAUUUUGUUAGUGUAUGACAGAUGAUAGGACAUCAUGAGCCGAAAGAAGGUCAUCUCACCUCAUUAAUGGAUCUGCGCAUCUUGUCCAAUGAGUUCUAGAAAACCCACACCCUCUAAAAACCACUAAGGCUUGGUGCUUAUUCAACUGAAUAUAUGUCAUUUGCUGAUGUGAUAGCUGAUUACUUACCAUAAUUGGAUAUUUAUCAUACAAGCUAAUUAAACUGGACCCAGAUACUUAUAAGGUAAUUGAGAGAAAUAGAUGAAUUACAAUCUCUGUAGCAUGAUGGCAAUCUGAUAAAAGAAGUUAGAAAUUUAAGUUUUCUAUGCAACUUAAAAUUAAAACACGAGAUGUCUAUAUUUCUUACAUAUGGUUCUGUAUAUAUUUAAUUGUGUUAUGGGGCAGAAAUCCCUCUCUAUUUGGCUAGAAAGGACAAGAGGAACAACGUGGCUAACUACCUUGGAGAGUCAAUAAAGCUCUCCACAGUGCAAUAGUUCUAAAACAUUUUGGACAGAUGAGGACCACAUAAAAGGUAGGCAGAUAUCGACCUUCCUAAUAUGGGCCAUUUGCAAAAAUAAAAAAUGCAAUGCAAAAGCUGAAUAUCCACUCCUCCUGCCCUUGAUUUCUAUGUCACAGACAUAAAAAUUCUAUCUAAAAAUUCACCUUCCAAACUCUCAUAUCAUUUUUGAAAGGUGGGAGGUACUUCUUAUGGUUUGAUGACCACAAGUCAAGAACCCCUACCAUAUAGAGCACAGCAUUCAAUGGCAAGGUAUCUAACUUACAUUUGUCAACAUUUUGAGGGAAGAGUAUCAAAAAUACUUAGAGACAAAAUCAGGGAAAUGUUUUAGUAUUUCUGUAAUUCACAGGCAAAACAAACAACAGACAUACAAUUAUUCAAUAAACUGUAAGUUGUCAGAAAUUAACUUUCAUUUGUAGGCCAUAGUAGCCAGACUGAAAAAAUACCCAAGUCAGUUAGUUAGAUGUAAACUUUGAAAUUCACUUUGCAUUCCAAACAAUUCACACGUCUGCAUAUACUCCUGUCAGUGUAUUAUAGAACAAUGUGGUAAGUGUGAUCCUGAACACCUGGUCUAUAUGUGGCUGUUAUUGGAUGAAUUUCAUCAUUGGCAUUUUAAGAUGUGUUUAUGAGAUAUAUAAAGAGCUUUAUCAUGAUCAGGAUGUGUCUUUGUUCAUAGUGUUUCUUAAAAAAUAUCCCUCCUUUUCACAUUCAUUGCAGCUUAACGCUUUGGAUACAAACAUUUAAUGUAUUUUUUACCUUAGGACUAAUGUUAAGAUGAUGGACACAGUAGAUGCUGACAGCACAUUUGAAGGACAACUGCUUUUGGCCAUGAUUAAAAUACAAUUUAACAACUCAAUUAAAGACUAGAUCUAAAUAUUAAUAGAUAUGGAUAUAUAUUUAGCCGUGAGAGGACUAAAUAUGUCUCUUAUCAAAAUAGCCAUGUACAGUAAAGAUCUGCUCUACGAUAUUUUAUGGAGACCUGUUUAAUGAUUCAAAACUUUUUAUACAUGUAUUUUUCUGAAAUUAAAUCUUUACUGAUACUGUACAAUAGUAACUUUAAUUUUAUAGCUAUUGGUACAAUAUGUGAAUAUGUUAAACAAUGCUAAGCUUAUAACUUUCCUCUUAAAGUUGUUAACAUAACAAACUGUGUGCUUACGGUCAAAUGGAAUACAUUUGUAACCUUUUUUUGUACUAAAACGGUAUUCUCUUCUUGUUUUUGUUUGCAAGAAAGGGUGGUAAUGAG